This 497-nucleotide ribosomal RNA is filed under the name uncultured bacterium. Its description in RNAcentral is "partial 16S ribosomal RNA". It matches the Rfam family "Bacterial small subunit ribosomal RNA", at positions 28 to 507 of the family's 1533-position model. The record is from RNAcentral.
GAUGAACGCUGGCGGCGUGCCUAAUACAUGCAAGUCGAGCGAACAGACGAGGAGCUUGCUCCUCUGACGUUAGCGGCGGACGGGUGAGUAACACGUGGAUAACCUACCUAUAAGACUGGGAUAACUUCGGGAAACCGGAGCUAAUACCGGAUAAUAUAUUGAACCGCAUGGUUCAAUAGUGAAAGACGGUUUUGCUGUCACUUAUAGAUGGAUCCGCGCCGCAUUAGCUAGUUGGUAAGGUAACGGCUUACCAAGGCAACGAUGCGUAGCCGACCUGAGAGGGUGAUCGGCCACACUGGAACUGAGACACGGUCCAGACUCCUACGGGAGGCAGCAGUAGGGAAUCUUCCGCAAUGGGCGAAAGCUUGACGGAGCAACGCCGCGUGAGUGAUGAAGGUCUUCGGAUCGUAAAACUCUGUUAUUAGGGAAGAACAAAUGUGUAAGUAACUAUGCACGUCUUGACGGUACCUAAUCAGAAAGCCCCGGCUAACUACGAG